This 364-nucleotide ribosomal RNA is filed under the name uncultured soil bacterium. RNAcentral describes it as "bacterial SSU rRNA". It matches the Rfam family "Bacterial small subunit ribosomal RNA", at positions 26 to 373 of the family's 1533-position model. The record is from RNAcentral.
AGGACAAACGCUGGCGGCGCGCUUAACACAUGCAAGUCGAACGGGGCUCGGGUCCUUCGGGAUCCGGGUUCAGUGGCGAACGGGUGCGUAACACGUGAGCAACCUGCCCUGAUGUGGGGGAUAACCUCGGGAAACCGGGGCUAAUACCGCAUGGGCUCCUCUGGGUCACCUGACCUGGGGAGCAAAGGUGCUGUCAAAGGCACUGCAUUAGGAGGGGCUCGCGGCGUAUCAGCUAGUUGGUGGGGUAACGGCUCACCAAGGCAGCGACGCGUAGGGGGUCUGAGAGGAUGGCCCCCACAUUGGGACUGAGAUACGGCCCAGACCUACCGUACGGGAGCGAGCGAGUAGGGGGAAUUCGUUGACG